CCCGUCAAGCCAUGGAAGCUGUUUCUACCUGAAUAGGUUGAGCUAACUCGCAAGAGAGGCAGAUCUACACGGUAGGAGGAGUGACUGGGGUU
RNAcentral lists this ribosomal RNA (92 nucleotides) under uncultured bacterium. RNAcentral's name for it is "partial 16S ribosomal RNA". The record is from RNAcentral.